GAUUUUGUACUGUCAUGGCACUGCAAGCAAUAUAGGAAAUAUUCUUGAAGGACUGCAAUCCUCCGAAAUUUUCAUUCAAUAAUCUUUAAACCAAAGAAGCCCUGGGUGGAAGCUUCAGAAACAAAGAUAUUGCCUUGCACAAUGCACAUCUUCUAAGGAAAACUGCAGGUUUUUGCACAGCAGGCGCAAAAAACAAGAAACCAUAUUGGUAGCAACAGUCAUAAUAACAAAACCAAAUGGUUGAGCCAACAAGAUUACCAUAUACUGAACCGUCAUACACCAAGGCCAGAUUUUCUAACAUUCGGUACUAGUUCCAAUAAAUUGCAAAUACUUGAAUGAAGCCAAGUUGAAGGCCGAGCCAGGCUCAGAAAUAUGUGUCAUUCCAUACACAAAUACAGCAGCAUCACAGGAUGGAAAACAACCUCAAAAUAUAUUCACAGCUUUGGCUUCUUCAGGUGGAAUGGGGCAGAACCACCUGAAUUAAUUGUUUGAAAUGAUCUUCAAUCCAUCAAAAGACCGGAAUUGCAUCAACAUCAGAAAAACUGGUGGAAAACAGCAGGCUGCUCUAGAUGUUCCAAUUAUUAUGCAGCUUUAUCUAGAAAGAGAUUCAAUUUAUCAGAGGCAAGCUAACAUAAAUCGCACAUUUGUAGUCAACAUCAUGAACCAGGUUCCAAAAUUGAAGAUACAAAUGGUUGUAUUCACUAUUCAGUAUUGCCAUUAACAUUAGUAAAACUACACUAUGUAGUUAAAUACACAAAUAUGACAACAUAAUGUAUCCCUACACGUACAAGAAAAAACAUGAUAGAACAAUAUUCGCAGGAAAAUGUUAUAAUGAAUUGGUAAAUACUAAUUAGUAAUUACCAUCAUCAGCAAUUUCACUUGUGCAGCUGGCAUCAGAACUCUGUACUUCUGGGGUAUAUUGGUCCAGAAACAAUUCGAUUGUCCUCCAGUAGCGGUCCCCUCCAGAAAUCCAGGUAUCCAUAUGCAUACCACUGGGAAAAUCAACAAACCUACAAUUCCUGUUAUGUUCAACAGCUUUGUCAUACAGCAUCCUCAUGUGUGACGGGGGAACCAGUUCAUCUUGCAAUCCAGAAAGGAAGAGAAUGGGUUGUUUGACCUGCAAUGACAUGCCAAAACUCAGGCAACGGAUAACACAAACCAUGGGGCUAAAAUAAAGAUCUGAGAACUGCAGAAUGGCAUAAAUAGAUUUGAAACCUUACGGCUUAACAGAUUAUGAUUAUUUCUGAAGAUGGGGCGGACUAAAAUAAAGAUCUGAGAACAGCAGAAUAGCAUAAAUACAGAUUUGAAAUCUUACAGCUUAACAAUAAUAUAGGUUUCAUUUUGGUGUAAUCUUUGAAUACAAAGUCCAAAGGAGUAAAAACAAACUGUAUGAAUCAAAAACAGAUCAACACUAUAUUUUCUCCCCAAAGAUUAAAAAUAAGAAUACGGAAGUUGUAACCAAGCAUGAAAACAACACCGUAUAAAAUGUUGAUUUAAACCAACCUCCAAAACUCACCUCUGCAACAACAUCAAGUGUACUCCAUGGAGAGCGAACAACGCAGUUAAGAAGUUUUGGGCCUUUGGCAGAACUACCGCCUAUGAACCAUCUUAAGAAGGGCAGCAUGAUACCAGCCAUAUCCAAUAUAGAUGUAAAAGUAUUUUCCAAUAUUAGAGCAGACACCUGCAACAUAGAACAACAUCUAGCAAGAUCAUUAUGAAUUGCAAAGGCCAAAGCUUAGCACACUUCUAUAGAUGUUAUUAGCUUACCAAAAUAUGACCUAAAUAAUGUUGCCCUAACCACAUGACUGAGUUCACAACCGUAAAAUCUAAGAGCCUGCUUUAUGAAGGUGUCCUAUGUUGAUCACUAAAGUAAAGUGUUGGCUGGACGUAAUUUCCUUUAAUGGGUGAACAAGGUCUGGAAGCUGGUUUGCGGUAUUUAAGUUAUUGAGUUCUGGCCAAUCUAGAUGGAAGGGGACAGAAAGAUCUGGGUCUGUUUUUUUCUUUCUUUUCAAGUAAAAACUUCUCUCCUAUAUGCUGCCUUACAACAUACUAACAUCGUUUGAUUUUCAGCAUAUAUCAAGACUGUAACCACCUAUCUGCUAUCAACAAUGGUCAUGAUCAUGUGUCAUCACUUGAUUUUCAGCAUAUUGUGACAGUCUUAACAUUCUUCACAAUCUUCUGGCAAGAUCCAUAGCAGAAUAAUCUUGUAACAGAAGGUAAUCUACAUCAUAACUACAUGAAAAUCUAAGUCUAAUUUAUGAACAUAUGCAUGCAAGGUUUUUGAGUCGCCGACUAAUCGCCGACUAAUCGCCGAGUCGUUGGAGCGAGGUUGGCUUGCGCAGGCGACUUGGCUUGAGGAGCGAGUCGCGCGGCUGGUAGGCUAGUCGACGAUUAGUCGACGACUAGUCGGGCGACUAGGACCUCAAAGCAGGGCGGCUUGCUUCAGCAAGGCCAAGGGAGGGAAGACUGGGAAGGUGAGGAGGCCAGAGUUCGAGGCGGGGGAGGAGGAGACGAAGCUGGGAGUGCGCCGCCUGUACGAGAAGCACGGAAGAGACAAAGGAGAAAGGCACAUGGGAGAGCAGAUGCACGGUCCAGAUUAGAGCAUAUGGACGGUUUGGAUUUUAUUUGGAAGCUAGGGUUACAUAAUGGGCCUAUUGGGCCAGCUCUCUAGCACGAAACAGAGGAGGAGCAAGACGCGUGCUCCCAUCCCACAUCAGAAUCGCCGCCUCCAUUGCUCCUACGAGCUGCUGCUGCCUUCUCCGAGCUGAAGUAUCCUCCAAGCAGCUGCGUUCCCCCUCCUCCGCCUGCAACAGCACCUCUUCCCCCUCCUCCUCCUCCUCCUCCUCCUCCUCCUCCUCCUCCUCCUCUUAACACCUGGGGCGACUUGGGGCGAUUAAUCACGACGAGUCGCAGACUAAUCGCAGCGAGCCACUAGUCGGAGGCAUGGCAACUUGACUUGGCUAGGCGACUCAAAAACCUUGUAUGCAUGUUUUGAAUGUUGAUCCAAUGAAAUUUGUUCGAAAAUAGAAGUGCAGUGGAGGAUACUGCCAUCACAAAUCCAACAGCAGAGAGAUCAAAUGAACCUAUUCUCACUUCUCUACAGCAAUAUGCAUAGACAAAUCAGUUUACAAUGAGUACCUUGUCAGGAUUGUUUUUUGCAAGAACUGCUCCAACAGCACCUCCUAAAGAUCUCCCAAAGAUAACUAUCCUGGAUGUGUCAAUGUCCUUCCUCUGAACUAGAUGAUCAAGUGCGGCCUAUCAAAAGAGAGAACUGUAAGAAGAGUAAACAGAACCACAAAAGUGAGAACAAAACCAAAAUGCAGGAAACAACAAACCUGUGCAUCUUUUGUGAUGCCACUCUGAGAAGGAUAACCCUCGCUCUCACCAUACCUACAAACAUGAUCAAAGUUCAGGUUCACUAAUAAAUGAAAGAAAGUGAAGACAUUUGAAUCACAUAUGAUACUGAGAGCUUCAAGAAAGAAGAAUGAAACAAAGAUAGUAUAACUGGUUUAUACUGUGGAGAACCAUACCCUCUAUAAGAAAGCAUAAACACAUUGCACUGUAGCCGCUGCAUCAUUAGUCGAACGCAUUCCAAACGAUGUGCAAUAUCUAUAACGAGUGAAGGAUUUUAACAGAGUAUAGCUUCAACACAAUUUGUCAUCAAUGAGAUACUCCCUCCGUCUAGAAAAUACUUGUCGGGGAAAUGGAUAAAAAUGGAUGUAUCUAGAACUAGAAUACAUCUAGAUACAUCCAUUUCUCCGGCAAGUAUUUUCGGACGGAGGGAGUACUAUUUUAUUAGUUCUCAUGUCCAUAAAAAGAAAUUCAGGAUACUGCCGGCAUUUUCCUGAAAGAACAGAAUGGUCGGACCUGCAUCAGGAAAACACUAUGAAACAGACAACAAUGUGGGAACAAAACAAAUGUGAAGUUGAGAACAAACUGAAGAUUGAGCACACUAGUUCCUAAGCAUGCAUAUGCUAUAAAAAUUUCAUGCUAUCAGUGAUGUAGGAAAUGCGAGAGGACUGAAGCUCUGAGCAUGACUUUUUUUGUUUUGUGAAAUGCUCUCUUGAAACUCUUUUGUGCUCAUAUAAUUAUCAACAUCAAGCAUCACAAACACCUAGUUAUAGAACAAUAUCAAGACUGUAACUUUUCUUCCUAACCUAAAAUUAAUAAAAACACCAGCAAAUGAUGUGGCCAACGAGAUAUAGACAAGAAGAAGUGUAUCUCAUUUGAUGCAUAGACAAGAUCAGCUAGAGUAGUAGAUACAACUAGCUAGAGGAACUAACGCAUGCAUACAAAUUCUAAUUUUGCAGAUAGUUGCCCAGCUGGUCCAGUUACACAUCUGGGGCCAAUGAGUGAAAAGCAAAGGUGAUUAGAAGGAAGUAGGUUCAAUGCAGCGUGAGCCGCUUUUCAAGGGAAGAGACAAAUGUGUUGACAUGCCGAAGUAUUUUGAAUGUACACGUGGCAAUUGCAUAUUUCUCGUCCACAGAUCACCGCAAAUAUUUCCCAUCUCUUCCUGCUUCGAACCAAAUCAUGGUUCACGUGAACUUUGUAAUCAUGCAUGCCUUUAUAUAUGGUCAGAAAGCUUAUUGGGUAUACUUUCUAAACUUGCACAACUUUUAAAACUAACCCAUAGAGAUAUACAGUAGAAAACCAAAUCAACAACCAUGAAACAUAGUGAUGCGAUGCAAAUAUAUAACCGCAUAGAGACAAAGAAAGCAAUACGUCACAAUAAAAGUAUGAAAACAAAAUUUGUGGAAUCUAACCCUACCGUGUGUUUAACGGUCAUGACAUCUGUACGGUCUAUUGAACAUAAAUAGCACAUCAGAGAAAUACUAUACUAAGCACCACAUACACCAGCGAGUACCGACUAGAAAAUCACAAUGAAGCUGGAACUUGAUAAACCAAUUCCAAUUGAAACUCAUUGUGAGAUUGGCCAAUCAAUCCUGAAUCGACACACAGAACUACAGAGAACUGUGUAAUAAAACCAAGGAACCCUAUAGAUCAAUUAAGAACAUAUGACAUAUCCACGCAGGCAGCGGCAGUAAAGUUCAAAUCCUAUUAUAUUAGCAGCAAAAAUCAUAAACAUCGGGCAUUUCUUAAGUGAACGCCGUAAACCCUACCCAGAUCCACGGACCCAUGUCCCGAUCAAGGGAGCUAAGAGAUGAAGCGACGCCACUAUCUAACCACGCAAUUUGGGUCAAAGCCAAUCCCUCCAGUACAGACUCGAAGAGAUCCACCGCCUUACGCUCCAAUAACCCGAACAGUUCCUGAUACCGAUCGAAUCAUUGGACAAGGGGGGGAGGAACCAACAAACAAACCGGGAGAGGUUGGGGAGGAUCGGUGACUGGUUGGUACUUGCCUCGGCAGGUGGGAGAGUGGCGGAGGAACCAGGAGUGGAGGCGCACGCCGUCGGCGGCGCGGAGCCAGACGUCCUCGUAGAUGAGGCGGAGGCGCGAGGGCUUGAUGGGGUAAGCGCGCGGGAGGCCAGGGAGCACGGGCACGUAGACGAGGCGCUCCUGCAGCGCCACCAGCGCCGCCAGGCCCACCACCGCCAUGCCCCCUGCGCCGUACACCAGCGCCUUGAGCCACCCCACCAUCUCCGCCGCCGAUGGGAGGGAAGGGCUCCGUCAGGCGGGUGGUGGUGGUGAUGGGCGCGGUCGCUGCUGCUCUUUGACUCGCGUCGUCGGUCGGGGUCGGAUUUGGGUUUAGUCUAACGGGACCGGGCUGCUUCGAGCCAGAGCUCUUGUGCGUCUACGGCUCUAGGCACGUCAAGCCUAUGUAGCCGGACCACUCAAACACCUAUAAGCUCCGGAUGGACAGCUCUGUCACUGCCGAAUCAUAUUACCCCCCAACUGGCUCCUUUAUACCCAUUCAGAAUGGUUCGCUAGCUAACUGGCACCCCUCAAUUGAUGUCGGAAAAAAAGACAUCCCUCAAACACACCUCAUAUGUGUGGCGGAUAUGAGGUGGCGCAGACAUGCCCGGACGCGUCUGUCACGUCGGACUGGCGGGCGAGACUCGCAAGGAAACCAUCGUUCCACUGGAGCUCACCAGUCUACAUUCAUGUCUCUGUUUCAGCGUCGCUCGAGGGACAAAACCUGGCUAUUUAAACUGGACGACGAGGGUAAACCCUAGCCGCCCCAUUUUCUCCCCCUCUCUCACCUCCGAGCUGCUAUCGCGACAUCGUGCACACACCAGCCCACUUUGACCUCGUCGUCCGCCUGCCGCCAUGGUCCUCACCAAGGUCACCUACUACAAAAUGUUGACCCCGAAGCGUCGGGCGGAGAUCCAGGUGGAGAUGCACGCCCUCGAGGCACGUCACGCUGCUCGCGUUGUAGCCGACCUAUCUCCGAACUCUCUGGAUGAGGCGAAGCAGGGAGAAGGAGGCGGCGCUGGAACAGGAGGAGGGUGGCAGAGGCGAUGGAAGAGGGGGGCACCGAAGGAGGAGGGGACACAGGCGUCGAACCGGUAGAAUUAGGUGUCCUUCAAGUUGAUGGAGAUGGCCACCAUGAUGAUUUUUCUCUUUGACAGAGUACCGGGAAAGGCCUUCAGAUUGGACCAUUGUGGAACAACGAUGUGCGACGGCGGAAGUAGAAGAACUCUGAUGUAUUAUUAGGGUUUUCAGGGCGAGGGAUAAAUAUAGGCGUCGAGAGGCGGUGUAAUGGAGCACCAGGGAGCCCACAUGGCCUCACCAUGCGUCUCCAUGGGCCCUGGCCUAGGUUGGCGACUCCUGGAAGCUUCCCAAUGCAAAAGAAAGAGAAGUCGUGAUAUUUCGGGAUUUUUGGAGCUCCAUAAAAUUGGUUUCCCGAGAAUCCAAAAACAACAGAAAACGGCAACUGGCACUAGACAUUGAGUUAAUAUGUUAGUUAAGAAAAAACAUAUAAAUUGGCGCAAAAAAAACAACAAAAAUUAUAUAUACAUUUGAGACGUAUCAUCCACUCUGGAUUUCCAAUAUGUUUGGCGAUGUAAUGCAAGACACAAAUAGCCAAGGCAUGCUUAUAUGAUAAAAAUCUAUAGUAAAUAUAGCUAGAAAAACUAGACACGUCAUGCUAGCGACAAUGAGAAACAUGUGGUAAGGCAUAUGCUAGCGACCAUGAACUAAUUGGUUUCAUGAUUUGAGGAAGUUCCAGCCUUUUCUUUUGUUCUUAUUACUCUUAUAGGUUGGAGACACCUAAGCGGUAGGAGUUGCCGGCGAGGAUCCAGUCGCCCAAUGGUGAUUGAGCUCUUACUUGGUGUGAGAGUGAGGAAGAAUGUGAGACUUUGUGGUGUUGGGCAUACCUGGUGUUGCCCACACAUCUUCAAUAGUGACUAGCUUCCUUCAAAGGAAGUGAACAUCAUAUACAUCUUCGUGUGUGUGCCUUAGUUAUUUCAUUCAUUUCCGAGCUCUUUCAGUUGCGUAUUAACUUGUUGUUUAACUUAACUACCAUCAUAUAUGUUGUGGUUACCUAGUUGUAUUUAGGAGAAAUUUUGCGCAAAGUCUAAAUUGUAAAGAAAAUAAUAAAAAAACCGGUGGAUGCUUAUUCAACACCCCCACUCCAUGGCGGUUAUUUUAAUCCUUGAAUGUGUUAUUUUUUGAAAUUUUCUAAGAAUUAUAUGCCUACUAGAAACAACUAUGAGGACUACUAUCGACCUACACAAUUUUUUGUUAGUUCUUGUGAGCUAUGUCAUAAUUGAGACCUAUAAGUUAAUACUUAUUUGUUUGAUGUAUUGGUAGAGGGAGCGAUAUUUGAUCAGAAGAUGAACAUAUAUUAUGUGCAUAGGAUGACAAAGGGUGGAGCUAGCUGAUGAGCGAUAUUUUAACACUCCUCUGCCCUUUGUUUAAAGCGAGAUAUUUCAAUUAAAUUGAGGUAUUUGUUGGAAAUAUGCCCUAGAGGCAAUAAUAAAAGGAUUAUUAUUAUAUUUCCUUGUUCAUGAUAAUUGUCUUUUAUUCAUGCUAUAAUUGUAUUAUCCGGAAAUCGUAAUACAUGUGUGAAUACAUAGACCACAACAUGUCCCUAGUGAGCCUCUAGUUGACUAGCUCGUUAAUCAACAGAUAGUCGUGGUUUCCUGACUAUGGACAUUGGAUGUCAUUGAUAACGAGAUCACAUCAUUAGGAGAAUGAUGUGAUGGACAAGACCCAAUCCUAAGCAUAGCACAAGAUCGUGUAGUUUGUUUGCUAGAGCUUUUCUAAUGUCAAGUAUCUUUUCCUUAGACCAUGAGAUCGUGUAACUCCCGGAUACCGUAGGAGUGCUUUGGGUGUACCAAACGUCACAAUGUAACUGGGUGACUAUAAAGGUAUACCGCGGGUAUCUCCGAAAGUGUCUGUUGGGUUGACACGGAUCGAGACUGGGAUUUGUCACUCCGUAUGACGGAGAGGUAUCUCUGGGCCCACUCGGUAAUGCAUCAUCAUAAUGAGCUCAAAGUGACCAAGUGUCUGGUCACAGGAUCAUGCAUUACGGUACGAGUAAAGUGACUUGCCGGUAACGAGAUUGAACGAGGUAUUGGGAUACCGACGAUCGAAUCUCGGGCAAGUAACAUACCAAUUGACAAAGGGAAUUGUAUACGGGGUUGCUUGAAUCCUUGACAUCGUGGUUCAUCCGAUGAGAUCAUCGAGGAGUAUGUGGGAGCCAACAUGGGUAUCCAGAUCCCACUGUUGGUCAUUGACCGGAGAGCCGUCUCGGUCAGGUCUACGUGUCUCCCGAACCCGUAGGGUCUACACACUUAAGGUUCGGUGACGCUAGGGUUGUAGAGAUAUUAGUAUGCAGCAAACCGAAAGUUGUUCGGAGUCCCGGAUGAGAUCCCGGACGUCACGAGGAGUUCCGGAAUGGUCCGGAGGUAAAGAAUUAUAUAUGGGAAGUCGAGUUUCGGCCAUCGGGAAAGUUUCGGGGGUCACCGGUAUUGUAUCGGGCCCACCGGAAGGGUCCCGGGGGUCCACCGGGUGGGGCCACCUAUCCCGGAGGGCCCCGUGGGCUGAAGUGGGGAGGGGAACCAGCCCCUUGUGGGCUGGUGUGCCCCCCUUGGCCCCCCCCUGCGCCUAGGGUUGGAAACCCUAGGGUGGGGGGAGGCGCCUCCACUUGCCUUGGGGGCAAGCCACCCCCCUUGGCUGCCGCCCCCCUUGGAGAUGGGAUCUCCUAGGGACAGCACCCCCCUGGGGUCCCUAUAUAAAGAGGGGGGAGGGAGGGCAGCCGCACCCUUGCACUUGGCGCCUUCCUUCCCCCCUGCUACACCUCUCCCUUCCGCAGACGCUUGGCGAAGCCCUGCCGGGAUCCCUGCUGCAUCCACCACCACGCCGUCGUGCUACUGGAUCUUCAUCAACCUCUCCUUCCCCCUUGCUGGAUCAAGAAGGAGGAGACAUCACGCUGAUCGUACGUGUGUUUAAUGCGGAGGUGCCGUCCGUUCGGCGCUAGGAUCUUCUGGUGAUUUGGAUCACGACGAGUACGACUCCCUCAACCUCGUUCUCUUGAACGCUUCCGCUCGCGAUCUACAAGGGUAUGUAGAUGCACUCCCCUCUCUCGUUGCUAUAAGAACUCAUAGAUUGAUCUUGGUGAACGUAGGAAAUUUUUUAUUUUAUGCAACGUUCCCCAACAGUGGCAUCAUGAGCUAGGUCUAUGCGUAGUUCUCUUUGCACGAGUAGAACACAAAUCUGUUGUGGGCGUAGAUGUUGUCAACUUUCUUGCCACUACUAGUCUUAUUUUGCUUCAGCGGUAUUGUGGGAUGAAGCGGCCCGGACCGACCUUACACGUACGCUUACGUGAGACAGGUUCCACCGACUGACAUGCACUAGUUGCAUAAGGUGGCUAGCGGGUGUCUGUCUCUCCCACUUUAGUUGGAGCGGAUUCGAUGAAAAGGGUCCUUAUGAAGGGUAAAUAGAAGUUGACAAAUCACGUUGUGGCUUUUUCAUAGGUAAGAAAACGUUCUUGCUAGAACCCUAUUGCAGCCACGUAAAAGAUGCAACAACAAUUAGAGAACGUCUAACUUGUUUUUGCAGCAAUUGCUUUGUGAUGUGAUAUGGCCAAAAGUUGUGCUGAAUGAUGAAUGAUAUAUUGUGAUGUAUGAGAUCAUGUUCUUGUAAUAGGAAUCACGAAUUGCAUGUCGAUGAGUAUGAGAACCGGCAGGAGCCAUAGGAGUUGUCUUAAUUAUUGUAUGACCUGCGUGUCAAUGAUUUAACGCCAUGUAAUUACUUUACUUUAUUGCUAAACCGUUAGCUAUAGUAGUAGAAGUAAUAGUUGGCGAGCAACUUCAUGGAGACACGAUGAUGGAGAUCAUGAUGAUGGAGAUCAUGGUGUCAUGCCGGUGACGAAGAUGAUCAUGGAGCCCCGAAGAUGGAGAUCAAAGGAGCUAUAUGAUAUUGGCCAUAUCAUGUCACUACUAUUUGAUUGCAUGUGAUGUUUAUCAUGUUUUUGCAUCUUGUUUACUUAGAACGACGGUAGUAAAUAAGAUGAUCCCUCAUAAUAAUUUCAAGAAAGUGUCCCCCCUAACUGUGCGCCGUUGUGACAGUUCGUUGUUUCGAAGCACCACGUGAUGAUCGGGUGUGAUAGAUUCUAACGUUCACAUACAACGGGUGUAAGACAAAUUUACACAUGCAAAACACUUAGGUUAACUUGACGAGCCUAGCAUGUACAGACAUGGCCUCGGAACACAAGAGACCGAAAGGUCGAACAUGAGUCAUAUGAAAGAUACGAUCAACAUGGAGAUGUUCACCGAUGAUGACUAGUCCGUCUCAUGUGAUGAUCGGACACGGCCUAGUCGUCUCGGAUCAUGUAACACUUAGAUGACUAGAGGGAUGUCUAAUCUGAGUGGGAGUUCAUUAAAUAAUUUGAUUAGAUGAACUUAAUUAUCAUGAACUUAGUCUAAAAUCUUUGCAAAAAUGUCUUGUAGAUAAAAUGGCCAACGCUCAUGUCAAAAUGAACUUCAACGCGUUCCUAGAGAAAACCAAGCUGAAAGAUGAUGGCAGCAACUAUACGGACUGGGUCCGGAACCUGAGGAUCAUCCUCAUAACUGCCAAGAAAGCAUAUGUCCUAGAAGCACCGCUAGGUGACCCACCUGCUCUCCCAGCACUGCAAGACGAUUUGAAUGUUUGGCAGACACGUGUUGAUGAUUACUCCCUCGUUCAGUGCGGCAUGCUUUACAGCUUAGAACCGGGGCUCCAAAAGCGUUUUGAGCAACACAGAGCAUAUGAGAUGUUCGAGGAGCUGAAAAUGGUUUUCCAAGCUCACGCACGAGUUGAGAGAUAUGAAGUCUCCGACAAGUUCUAUAGUUGUAAGAUGGAGGAAAAUAGUUCUGUCAGUGAGCACAUACUCAAAAUGUCUGGGUUGCACAGCCGCCUGUCCCAACUGGACAUUAACCUCCCGGACGAGGCGGUCAUUGACAGAAUCCUUCAGUCGCUCCCACCGAGCUACAAGAGCUUUGUGAUGAACUACAAUAUGCAGGGGAUGGUGAAAACUAUUCCUGAAGUAUUUUCAAUGCUGAAGUCAGCAGAGGUAGAAAUCAGAAAGGAACAUCAAGUGUUGAUGGUCAAUAAAACCACCAAGUUCAAGAAAGGCAAGGGUAAGAAGAACUUCAAGAAGGACGGCAAGGAUGUUGCCACGCCCGGUAAGCCAGUUGCCGGGAAGAAGUCAAAGAGUGGACCCAAGCCUAAAACUGAGUGCUUUUAUUGCAAAGGGAAGGGUCACUGGAAGCGGAACUGCCCCAAAUACUUAGCGGACAAGAAGGCCGGCAACACUAAAGGUAUAUGUGAUAUACAUGUAAUUGAUGUGUACCUUACCAGUGCUCGUAGUAGCUCCUGGGUAUUUGAUACCGGUGCCGUUGCUCAUAUUUGUAACUCAAAGCAGGAGCUACGAAAUAAGCGGAGACUGGCGAAGGACGAGGUGACGAUGCGCGUCGGGAAUGGUUCCAAGGUCGAUGUGAUUGCUGUUGGCACGCUACCUCUGCAUUUACCUACGGGAUUAGUUUUAAACCUCAAUAAUUGUUAUUUAGUGCCAAGUUUGAGCAUGAACAUUGUAUCUGGAUCUUGUUUAAUACGAGAUGGCUACUCAUUUAAAUCCGAGAAUAAUGGUUGUUCUAUUUAUAUGAGGGGUAUGUUUUAUGGUCAUGCCCCGAUGGUCAAUGGUUUAUUCUUAAUGAAUCUCGAAUGUAAUGUUACACAUAUUCAUAGUGUGAAUACCAAAAGAUGUAAAGUUGAUAACGAUAGUCCCACAUACUUGUGGCACUGCCGCUUUGGUCACAUUGGUGUCAAGCGCAUGAAGAAGCUCCAUGCUGAUGGACUUUUAGAGUCUCUCGAUUAUGAAUCAUUUGACACAUGCGAACCAUGCCUCAUGGGCAAAAUGACCAAGACUCUGUUCUCCGGAGCAAUGGAGCGAGCAACCAACUUAUUGGAAAUCAUACAUACCGAUGUGUGCAGUCCAAUGAGCGUUGAGGCUCGCGGAGGAUAUCGUUAUGUUCUCACUCUCACUGAUGACUUGAGUAGAUAUGGAUAUGUCUACUUGAUGAAACACAAGUCUGAGACCUUUGAAAAGUUCAAGGAAUUUCAGAAUGAGGUAGAGAAUCAACGUGACCGAAAGAUAAAUUUCUUACGAUCAGAUCGUGGAGGAGAAUAAUUAAGUCACGAAUUUGGUACACACUUAAGGAAAUGUGGAAUCGUUUCACAACUCACGCCGCCUGGAACACCUCAACGUAAUGGUGUGUCCGAACAUCGUAAUCGCACUCGUAAUCGCACUCUAUUGGAUAUGGUACGAUCUAUGAUGUCUCUUACUGAUUUACCGCUAUCAUUUUGGGGAUACGCUCUAGAGACAGCUACAUUCACUUUAAAUAGGGCUCCGUCUAAAUCCGUUGAGACGACACCGUAUGAAUUAUGGUUUGGGAAGAAACCUAAGCUGUCGUUUCUAAAAGUUUGGGGAUGCGAUGCUUAUGUCAAGAAACUUCAACCUGAAAAGCUCGAACCCAAGUCGGAAAAAUGCGUCUUCAUAGGAUAGCCUAAGGAAACCAUGGGGUAUACCUUCUACCUUAGAUCCGAAGGCAAGAUCUUUGUUGCCAAGAAUGGAUCCUUUCUGAAAAAGAGUUUCUCUCGAAAGGAGUAAGUGGGAGGAAAGUAGAACUCGAUGAAGUACUACCUCUUGAACCAGAAAGUAGUGCAGCUCAGGAAAAUGUUCCUGUGGUACCUACACCGACUGGAGAGGAAAUUAAUGAUGAUGAUCAAGGUACUUCGGAUCAAGUUGCUACUGAACUCAUAGGUCCACAAGGACACGUUCCACACCGGAGUGGUAUGGCAACCCUGUCCUGGAAAUCAUGUUGUUAGACAACGGUGAACCUUUGAACUAUGAAGAAGCAAUGGAGGGCCCAGAUUCCAACAAAUGGCUUGAAGCCAUGCAAUCCGAGAUAGGAUCCAUGUAUGAAAACGAAGUAUGGACUUUGACAGACUUGCCUGAUGAUCGGCGAGCGAUAGAAAACAAAUGGAUCUUUAAGAAGAAGACGGACGUGGAUGGUAAUGUUACCAUCUAUAAAGCUCGACUUGUUGCUAAGGGUUAUCGACAAGUUCAAGGGGUUGACUACGAUGAGACAUUCUCUCCCGUAGCAAAGCUGAAGUCCGUCCGAAUCAUGUUAGCAAUUGCCGCAUAUAUGAUUAUGAGAUAUGGCAGAUGGAUGUCAAAACGGCAUUCCUUAACGAACAUCUUAAGGAAGAACUGUAUAUGAUGCAGCUAGAAGGUUUUGUCGAUCCUAAGAAUGCUAACAAGGUGUGCAAGCUCCAGCGAUCCAUUUAUGGGCUGGUGCAAGCAUCUCGGAGUUGGAACAUUCGCUUUGAUGAGAUGAUCAAAGCGUUUGGGUUUAUGCGGACUUAUGGAGAAGCCUGCGUUUACAAGAAAGUGAGUGGGAGCUCUGUAGCAUUUCUCAUAUUAUAUGUAGAUGACAUACUUUUGAUGGGAAAUGAUAUAGAACUUUUGGACAGCAUUAAGGCCUACUUGAAUAAGUGUUUUUCAAUGAAGGACCUUGGAGAGGCUGCUUACAUAUUAGGCAUCAAGAUCUAUAGGGAUAGAUCGAGACGCCUCAUAGGUCUUUCACAAAGUAUAUACCUUGAUAAGAUAUUGAAGAAGUUCAAUAUGGAUCAGUCCAAGAAAGGGUUCUUGCCUGUAUUGCAAAGUGUGAGAUUGAGCUCGGCUCAAUGCCCGACGACGGCAGAAGAUAAAGAAGAGAUGAGUGUCAUCCCCUAUGCCUCAGCCAUAGGAUCUAUUAUGUAUGCCAUGCUAUGUACCAGACCUGAUGUAAACAUUGCCGUAAGUUUGGUGGGAAGGUACCAAAGUAAUCCCGGCAAGGAACACUAGACAGCGGUCAAGAAUAUCCUGAAGUACCUGAAAAGGACAAAGGACAUGUUUCUCGUCUAUGGAGGUGACGAAGAGCUCGUCGUAAAGGGUUACGUCGAUGCUAGCUUCGACACAGAUCUGGAUGACUCUAAGUCACAAACCGGAUACGUGUAUAUGUUGAAUCGUGGAGCAGUAAGCUGGUGCAGUUGCAAGCAGAGCGUCGUGGCGGGAUCUACAUGUGAAGCGGAGUACAUGGCAGCCUCGGAGGCAGCGCAUGAAGCAAUAUGGAUGAAGGAGUUCAUCACCGACCUAGGAGUCAUACCCAAUGCGUCGGGGCCGAUCACUCUCUUCUAUGACAACAUUGGAGCUAUUGCCCUUGCCAAGGAGCCCAGGUUUCACAAGAAGACCAGGCACAUCAAGCGUCGUUUCAACUCCAUCUUUGAAAAUGCUCAAGAUGGAGACAUAGACAUUUGCAAAGUACAUACGGAUCUGAAUGUCGCAGAUCCGUUGACUAAACCUCUUCCGCGAGCAAAACAUGAUUAACACCAGAACUCUAUGGGUGUUCGAUUCAUCACAAUGUAACUAGAUUAUUGACUCUAGUGCAUGUGGGAGACUAUUGGAAAUAUGCCCUAGAGGCAAUAAUAAAAGGAUUAUUAUUAUAUUUCCUUGUUCAUGAUAAUUGUCUUUUAUUCAUGCUAUAAUUGUAUUAUCCGGAAAUCGUAAUACACGUGUGAAUACAUAGACCACAACAUGUCCCUAGUGAGCCUCUAGUUGACUAGCUCGUUAAUCAACAGAUAGUCGUGGUUUCCUGACUAUGGACAUUGGAUGUCAUUGAUAACGAGAUCACAUCAUUAGGAGAAUGAUGUGAUGGACAAGACCCAAUCCUAAGCAUAUCACAAGAUCGUGUAGUUCGUUUGCUAGAGCUUUUCCAAUGUCAAGUAUCUUUUCCUUAGACCAUGAGAUCGUGUAACUCCCGGAUACCAUAGGAGUGCUUUGGGUGUACCAAACGUCACAACAUAACUGGGUGACUAUAAAGGUAUACUGCGGGUAUCUCUGAAAGUGUCUCUUGGGUUGACACGGAUCGAGAUUGGGAUUUGUCACUCCGUAUGACGGAGAGGUAUCUCUGGGCCCACUCGGUAAUGCAUCAUCAUAAUGAGCUCAAAGUGACCGAGUGUAUGGUCACGGGAUCAUGCAUUACGGUACGAGUAAAGUGACUUGCUGGUAACGAGAUUGAACGAGGUAUUGGGAUACCGACGAUCGAAUCUCGGGCAAGUAACAUACCGAUUGACAAAGGGAAUUGUAUACGGGGUUGCUUGAAUCCUCGACAUCGUGGUUCAUCCGAUGAGAUCAUCGAGGAGCACGUGGGAGCCAACAUGGGUAUCCAGAUCCCGCUGUUGGUCAUUGGCCGGAGAGCCAUCUCGAUCAUGUCUACGUGUCUCCCAAACCCAUAGGGUCUACACACUUAAGGUUCGGUGACGCUAGGGUUGUAGAGAUAUUAGUAUGCAGCAAACCGAAAGUUGUUCGGAGUCCCGGAUGAGAUCACGGACGUCACGAGGAGUUUCGGAAUGGUCCGGAGGUAAAGAAUUAUAUAUGGGAAGUCGAGUUUCGGCCAUCGGGAAAGUUUCGAGGGUCACCGGUAUUGUACCGGGACCACCGGAAGGUUCCCGGGGGUCCACCGGGUGGGGCCACCUAUCCCGGAGGGCCCCGUGGGCUGAAGUUGGGAGGGGAACCAGCCCCUGGUGGGCUGGUGCGCCCCUCCCUUGGGCCCCCCCUGCGCCUAGGGUUGGAAACCCUAGGGUGGGGGGCGCCUCCACUUGCCUUGGGGGGCAAGCCACCCCCCUUGGCCGCCGCCCCCCUUGGAGAUGGGAUCUCCUAGGGCCGCCCCCCUGGGGUCCCUAUAUAAAGAGGGGGGAGGGAGGGCAUCCGCACCCUUGCACUUGGUGCCUCCCUUCCCCCUUGCUACACCUCUCCCUUCCGCAGACGCUUGGCGAAGCCCUGCCGGGAUCCCUGCUGCAUCCACCACCACGCCGUUGUGCUGCUGGAUCUUCAUCAACCUCUCCUUCCCCCUUGCUGGAUCAAGAAGGAGGAGACGUCACGCUGACUGUACGUGUGUUGAACGCGGAGGUGCCGUCCGUUCGGCGCUAGGAUCUUCCGUUGAUUUGGAUCACGACGAGUACGACUGCCUCAACCUCAUUCUCUUGAACGCUUCCGCUCGCGAUCUACAGGGGUAUGUAGAUGCACUCCCCUCUCUCAUUGCUAGAAGAACUCAUAGAUUGAUCCUUGUGAACGUAGGAAUUUUUUUAUUUUAUUCAACGUUCCCCAACAAUAUUCACUCUGAUAUUGCCACUAAUGAUUAAUGCAUGCAUAGGGUUUUAAAAAUUCUCUCUUUAUUGUGUUUCUACAGGCAAUGGGCUAAAUAUGGGUGAAAUAAAGUGGGACACAUGGAAAGGAGUGAAAUAGGAGAUAGGAGAAAUCAUGAGGAGGUGCACCAGGCCACAGAGCAAAGACAAUGUUCCAUGCGACUACGACCGCUUGCAUGAGCGAUCAUAUGGCAUGGAAACCGAGGCCUCUCGUUCAGCUGAACAACUUUUAUAAAGGGGUCAAGACCGAAAUGUCAACAGAACAUCCACGAGCAAAGCUAGAACAGAGUCGUCCUCAUCCUUCUCCAUCAACCCUAGCCGCCACUAUUUCCAUCUCCGUAGCCACCGUAAUCCUUCUUAUAGAUCAUACAUGUAAUCAUGCAUCGCACACGACAUUCAUUGUAAGACAUAUUAUAAAUCAAUCAAUCUCCAUUAUGUGUUCUUUGCGUGAUCUGAUCUCCAUGUCUGAGUAGUUCUGUAAGGUAUGGGUUGAGGCAAGAGCCUUGCAGCCCUCUGUAUUUGUUGUGGGGAUCAAUGGAAGUGCUUUGAAUUAACGUCUCAUAUGUGUGAAAUAAAAUUGUUCCGUAGAUGUCUCUUAUCUCGCCUGCAUUUUUCAUCCAUGCAAGCACCCAUGAUCAUGGAGAGCGAGCCAUGGAGAAGCUAAGGCAGGGGGGGCAUGAAGUGUUAUUCUGAACACCAGUGACAGAAGGGUUUAGUAGGGUAACACAGAUCCUAUCUCUAGGGAUUCAAGAGGUGUAAUCAUUAAACGCCCAAAGCUCUUGCCUAUUGCAAUCUUAAUUAUCGAGGCAACCCCGCGAGACGGAUAGGUCAAGAUGUAAUCAUUGGACAACUGGUUCUUGAUGCAGAACGCGUGUCGGUCAAGAUGUAAUCUGGACACAUCCUCCAUGCCUGUUCAUAACAAGCACAUCUUGACUGGUGACUUCCAGCGCACAACUUAAAAUCAUAUUUGGCCCCAGCACAAAUACAUGGUUGUAAGCAUUAAGAUCUCAUGCUCGUACCUAUUUUUAUUAUAAGUGUUGAACUCAAGGUUGUUUGAUUUUGAUCCGGUCAAAAGCUAGAGUUGUUUCUUUAACAAAAGCUUGCUAGAGACCCUGGCUUAAAGGUGGCCUUCCUCCCGCGGGUUCGAUAACUCAGGGUCACCUCCGGGUAAAUAGGUGAGAAUACUUUCUCCUCCAUUUUUGGAUCACUAAAGGAAGUAAUCAAAGCCUUUUUCUGGCGCCGUUGUCGGGGAUGAGUUGAGUGUUCCUAGACUUUGUGUUUACAGUUUUUGUUAAAGUUUUAAUUUUAGUUUUAUUUUUUAUUUUUUUGCAAGUCCUGUGAGUUAAAAAAACCCAAAAGAUCACCAUGGCUCAUAAUCUUGGAAGUUUUGCUACUCCUAGCAAUAACUUUAUCCGUGAACCCAUAACACAACUUGAAUUUGUUGUCGCUGAGUGAGAUCAAACUGAACUUAGUUUCUAUGGUUCAACGGGGCCAAUUUGGAGGCUCUGCUUCUGAAGAUUCUGGUAUGCACUUGCAUAAUUCACUGAAUUGUGCAACAUGACACACGUUAGAGAUUAUGACCCUGACGCUUUGAAGUUGCGUCUAUUUCCUUUCUAUUUGAGAGAAAAAAGCACAAGAAUGGCUUCUAGCUUUACCUAGAGGCAGUAUAACUUCUUGGGCUGAUUGUUGCAGCAAAUUCUUAUGUAAGUUUUUCCCCACCUGCAAAAAUUAUGCAACUUUGUUCUCAAAUUAAAGGUUUCAAAUAGGAAGAGCGUGAGCCACUAGUGCUUGGCGUAGGAUAGAAUGAAAGAAGCCAUAAGGAACUGUGCUAACCAUGGAAUGGAGGAAUGGUUACUCUAAUAACCCACAAGUAUAGGGGAUCACAACAGUUUUCGAGGGUAGAGUAUUCAACCCAAAUUAAUUGAUUCGACACAAGGGGAGCCAAAGAAUAUUUGCAAGUAUUAGCAGCUGACUUGUCAAUUCAACCACACCUAGAGAUUAAUUAUCUGCAGCAAAGUGAUCGGUAGCAAAGUAGUAUGAUAGUUUUGAUAGUAGUAGCAACAUCAGUAGUAACAGUAACAGUGAUAGCAAUAAUUUUGUAGCGAGCGUAGUAACGAAGCAGUAGCAACUUAGUAAGAAUAAUAUGAGAGAAAUUCGUAGGCAUUAGGUCAGUGAAUUUGUUGGAUGAUAUUCAUCAUAUAAUAGUCAUAACCUAGGGCAAUACGACACUAGCUCCAGUUCAUAAAUAUAAUGUAGGCAUGUAUUCCGUAAAUAGUCAUAUGUGCUUAUGGAAAGAACAUGAAUGACAUAUUUUGUCCUACCCUCCCGUGGCAGCGGGGUCCUAUUGGAAACUAAGGGAUAUUAGGGCCUCCUUUUUAUAGAGAACCAGAACAAAGCAUUAACACAUGGUGAAUACAUGAACUCCUCAAACUACAGUCAUUACCAAGAAGUGUCCUGACUUCUGUCACUCCAGGUUUGCCGGAUCAUAACACGUAGUAGGUGACUAUAACUUGCAAGAUCGGAUCUAGAACACAGAUAUAAUGGUGAUAACAUAAACGAUUCAAAUCUGAAAUCAUGGCACCCGGGCCCAAAGUGACAAGCAUUAAGCAUGGCAAAGUCACAGUAACAUCAAUCUCAGAACAUAAUGGAUACUAGGGAUCAAGCCAAAACAGAACUAACUCAAUUACAUGAUGAAUCUCAUCCAACUCCUCACCGACCAGCGAACCUAUGAAGGAAUUACUCACUCCCGGUGGGGAGCAUCAUGGAAUUGGCGAUGGAGAAGGGUUGGUGAUGACGAAGAUCGAAGAUCCCCCUCUCCGGAGCCCCAAACGGACUCCAGAUCUGGUCUCCCGGUGAAGAACAGGAGGUGGUAGCGGCUCCGCCUCAUGAAAUGCGAUAAUUCUUUCUCCCCGAUAUUUUUCUCUAGAUAUGUGAUUUUAUAGUAUCAAAGUUGGAGUCUGCGGGGCCACUAGGUGGGGACAACCCACCUGGGCGCGCCUGGAGGGGGGGCGCCCUGGUGGGUUGUGCCCACCUAGGUGCCCCCCUCCAAUGGUUCUUGGCUCCAGAAAUUAUCUUUAUUUGUAUAAAAUUUUCUCGCAAAGUUUCGUUCCAAUCCGAGAACUUUUAUUUCUGCACAAAAACAACACCAUGGUAGUUCUACUGAAAACAGCGUCAAUCGGGGUUAGUUUCAUUCAGAUCUUGCAAAUUAGAGUCCAAAACAAGAGGAAAAGUGUUAAGGAAAAGUAGAUACGACGGAGACGUAUUAACUCUCCCAAGCUUAAACCUUUGCUUGUCCUCAAGCAACUCAGUUGAUAAACUGAAAGUGAAAAGGAAAAACUUUUACGAACUCUUUUUCUCUUGUUUACAUAAAUAAGCUUAAGUAGCACCCAAGUUUUCAGCAAAGAUUAUAACUAACCAUGUCGAUAAUAACUCUUGAAAAUUAUACUAACUCAUAUCAAUGACAUAAUCAACUAGCGAGCAAUAAUAAAAUAUCUCAAACUACAACACUUUGUCAAAACAACCAUGAUAUAAUAUGAAAGAAGUGGUAUCUCACUAGCCCUUUCUGAGACCACAAAACAUAAAUGCAGAGCACCUCCAAAGUUCAAGCAGCGACUAAACAUUAUAAUUCAUGGUAGAAAAGAUCUAGUCAUGAUGCACCCAACAUUAGCUACACACAAUGCAUGAGGAUGACAGUAGUGAUCUCAGGUUCUGGCGCUUAUUUGAGAAGGUGAUGACACAACAUAAAAGUAAAUAGAUAGUCCCUUCGCAGAGGAAGCAGUGAUUUGCAGAGGUGCCAGAGCUAAAGUUUUAAAACAGAGGUAAAUGAAAUUUUGAGAAAUGCACCAUUCAUGUUUACUUCGCGACCAUUAGUUAUCGACAUCUUCCAUGCUAAACACAUUAGUGGCGGUUCCCAAGCGAUAAAAGAAAAAAUUGAUCGACGUUGCUGACAGCAAAGGGCGUCCCAUUCGAAAAUAUCAAACGCAUGUCUUCUUGCUAAAAUGAAUGAGCAAAAUUUGACAGGGUUGUCCCAUUCCAAAAUAUCAAAUGCCUACGAUUGUGGAAUGGGCAUGGUUUGCCAUUAGUUCGGACAUUGACAUGGCACCUCGUGCUAAAUAAACCAGCUGUUCUUUUUGUGCAGUUCCACCAAAAUCAACCAAAUUUGCGCGUAGCUUGUAUGAUUUCACCCUUAUAUGUUGCAACGCCUUGAACUUAUCGGCACCUCCUUUCUUGUGGUGGAAAUGAAUGAUUCUAUGUAUUCAUGAACAUUUUGUGUAGUUCCCAUUGAAAUCAAGCCAAGCACCCCUGUUUGCACAAAUACAAAAAAAGCGAUUAGUAUAAAGCAAAUUGUACUAUGAAUUGACAGUUUAAACAGGCACCUACAUGGUCCAUGUAGAGACACUUUUAGAAAAAUGGAACUCACCGGAAAGAAUCCUAGAACAACAUUGUACUCGUGCAUCACAACAAGAAAAUGGAGAUUUGUCAGUCCUUCUGAGCUGAAGUUAGUUUGGUCUUGUCGGGAGUAACAUAACCAUCCUUCAACUGCUCCUUCUGAUGAGAAGAUAGACAUGGCUUCUUCGUCUUGGCAUAAUCAGAACUAGUCACUUCACGUACUCCAUAUUAUUCUUCAUAGGAGGAUGAUCCUGUUGUGUGCAAAGACAAGAGGACAACUAAAUGCUAGCAUCCCUAUUUGCUUGAAAAAAAGGAAAUGAAAUAUUUAAAAUAGCACAGAUGAAGCACUUCUCAAGGACAAUACCACUUUUUCAUGACAGUAUCUAAACAGUAGCACAACAUCAAUAGAGAUGACAAAGCUCAAUCAUAUGGAUGAAAUCAGUGGGCGAGUACCAAACUUUGUCAGGAGGCUUAUUGUGUAGAGCUUACAGAUGAAGCACUUCUCCGGAACCAUCUGUUGCUAUCUACUGUGGUGGCCAUGCUUACUAUAUACUCCUCGAUUAGUUUAAUGUUUCCAACAUCUUCUUGUGCAGUUCCACUAAAUAUAUGGUAUCUUCAAAGUAGAUCCCUGUUUGCACAAGUAGAGAUGUCACGACCGGAUUUUCAAUAAAAUGAUUAUUGAUAAAACCGAUCUUUUAAACCCAGUAUAGGAAAAGUCAUCCUUUCUGGAAGACAAAGCUUGAUAAACAGAGAACCAGUAGUAUCAAAUAUAUUACAGGAUUGAGCUGAGACUGCUCAACAGUUUAUUACAAACCCGCCAAUAUCUUACAUAAGAGCGGUUAAGUCAUGGGGGUGGAUUGGCAUGCUACUAGCUCGAGGGAAAACGGUGGUGGAUAACUUGACUCCUAUAGGCAGUACAUCGAGCGUCGAGAUGAGGCUCGAUGAAUUUAUUCGGGGUUGCAGAAGCGGAUAAUACAAUGACCAAAACAUGAUCGCACGGGACUGACUGGGACUCCUCUAGGCGUCGGACUCGCUAUCAAACUCUUCAUCCAUGAGAUCGCCUUCAUCAACAUUUGGCCAAAUCAACAAGCCAGGUGAGUACUCGAAAGUACUCGCAAGACAGUUCGGACAAAAGAUAUAAUCAAUGAAUGCAUGAAUGCGUCAUGAUCCAGGAUGAUGCUCAUACAAUAACGAUAAUAUUGCAGUACGUGAAGAAUAAAAUAAAUAACUGAAAACUGAUCGGGUGUCUGAAGCGACGCCUCGAAAGGUAAAUAAAUAAAAUGCAUGCCGCAGUCGGGCGUCUAAGCGACACCACAUAAAGGGCUUAAAAGAAAUACCACAGUCGAACGUCUGCGCGACAUCACAGACAGGGCUUAAAAGAAAUGCCACCGUCGGACGUUUGAGCGACAUCACAGACAGGGCUUUAGGAGAAAUGCCACCGUCGGACGUCUGAGCGACAUCACAGACAGGGCUUUAAAAGAAAUGCCACCAUCGGACGUCUGAGCGACAUCACAGACAGGGCUUUAAAAAGAAAUGCCACCGUCGGACGUCUGAGCGACAUCACAGACAGGGCCUAUAAUAAAUGUAAAUACAAGAUUAGUCCAUCCACAAGAAUAAUCUUUUAACCGGAUUUAUCUCACAUAAAUCCCACCGGGUUUUUGUCACUGAGGUUGAUACCUGACAAGAUAAGAUGAAUAUAGUACUUGAACAAAGCACAAGAUAAUUGAAGGAUUUGAGACUCUGCAGAGUUUGGAUGAACUGACCACAGCUAACGGAUUUCCGUAGUCACGAAGGACUAGUUCCGUUUACGGUAUUUCAGUAGAAACACAUUUAACUAGUACACACCCAUUUCACCUCACGAUGCCAGGAAUCACCCUGGACAACGUCCAAGAAAAACUUUGAGACAGGUAGGCCACAACCUCGAAUAGCAUGGGAUCAAAUUUCUAUACGCGCGCUCUAAGGGGUGCCCCCCUCUCGGUCCCAACCGGAAACACCCAUGCCCCCUGACCGGAUGACGGGCUUUAAUCCAGGGCCAUGGAACCCUCAUCCCGGCCUCUCCACUUGGUGUGUACCAGGAAAACGGUUACAACUUACUAUGCCAUAUCCCUUGCGGAAAAUAAGUGGCAGCACAGGAAGGAAGUGAAAGGAAUAUGAUUUGAUCAUGUUGACACUGCUGUCAAAGGACUAGCCUAAGCCUGGCAUGUCACAACACUGCCAUCUUAUCCAUCCUCACGCCAACACAUGGCUAUGCAAAUAUGUAUCCAACAACAUAAUGCUUACCGAAACUUACUUUCCGAUUAUAUAUAUGAAAUAUAACAUUUAAUAGUUGUUCAUAAACAUGCCAUGAACAUACAAAAAUGCAAACACGCAACAACACUCAUCAUAUCAAGAGUUCAAACAUGCUUGCCUGGUUUGGAGUAGUCGGAGCCUAACUGUGCGAGGUUUGUAGCUCCGUCAUCUCCUUCGGUAUCUACGGUAUAAGAAAAGAUACGCACGCAAUGCAAAUGCCGUGAGUGUACAGAAA
RNAcentral lists this long non-coding RNA (23544 nucleotides) under Triticum aestivum (bread wheat). RNAcentral's name for it is "long non-coding RNA (TAES_LNC022129)". The stretch from base 3666 to 3791 matches the Rfam family "MIR1120/MIR1122 microRNA precursor family". Lineage: Eukaryota; Viridiplantae; Streptophyta; Magnoliopsida; Poales; Poaceae. The record is from RNAcentral.